RNAcentral lists this ribosomal RNA (460 nucleotides) under uncultured bacterium. Its description in RNAcentral is "partial 16S ribosomal RNA". It matches the Rfam family "Bacterial small subunit ribosomal RNA", at positions 338 to 795 of the family's 1533-position model. The record is from RNAcentral.
CCUACGGGAGGCAGCAGUGAGGAAUAUUGGUCAAUGGACGAAAGUCUGAACCAGCCAAGUCGCGUGAAGGAUGACUGCCCUAUGGGUUGUAAACUUCUUUUAUAUGGGAAUAAAAUGUUCCACGUGUGGGAUUUUGUAUGUACCAUAUGAAUAAGGAUCGGCUAACUCCGUGCCAGCAGCCGCGGUAAUACGGAGGAUCCGAGCGUUAUCCGGAUUUAUUGGGUUUAAAGGGAGCGUAGGUGGGUUGUUAAGUCAGUUGUGAAAGUUUGCGGCUCAACCGUAAAAUUGCAGUUGAAACUGGCGGACUUGAGUACAGUAGAGGUGGGCGGAAUGCGUGGUGUAGCGGUGAAAUGCUUAGAUAUCACGAAGAACUCCGAUUGCGAAGGCAGUUCACUGGACUGCAACUGACACUGAGGCACGAAAGUGUGGGUAUCAAACAGGAUUAGAUACCCUUGUAGUC